Molecule: non-coding RNA, 37 nt
Organism: Desertifilum sp.
Lineage: Bacteria; Bacillati; Cyanobacteriota; Cyanophyceae; Desertifilales; Desertifilaceae
Source: Rfam
AUUGCAAUUUCAUCUAAUCCCUAAUAGGGAUUGAAAC